GUGCUCGCUUAGGCAGCACAUACACUAAAAAAUCAGAAUGAUACAGAGAAGAUUAGCAUAGCCCCUGUGCAAGGAUGACACACAAAUUCGUGAAGCAUUCCAUAUAAAA
This is a small nuclear RNA of Manis javanica (Malayan pangolin), 109 nucleotides long. Lineage: Eukaryota; Metazoa; Chordata; Mammalia; Pholidota; Manidae. The record is from RefSeq and is a predicted model, not a curated record.